UGAGUAACACGUGAGUAACCUGCCCCUGACUCUGGGAUAAGCGUUGGAAACGACGUCUAAUACUGGAUAUGACUGCCGGCCGCAUGGUCUGGUGGUGGAAAGAUUUUUUGGUUGGGGAUGGACUCGCGGCCUAUCAGCUUGUUGGUGAGGUAAUGGCUCACCAAGGCGACGACGGGUAGCCGGCCUGAGAGGGUGACCGGCCACACUGGGACUGAGACACGGCCCAGACUCCUACGGGAGGCAGCAGUGGGGAAUAUUGCACAAUGGGCGAAAGCCUGAUGCAGCAACGCCGCGUGAGGGAUGACGGCCUUCGGGUUGUAAACCUCUUUUAGUAGGGAAGAAGCGAAAGUGACGGUACCUGCAGAAAAAGCACCGGCUAACUACGUGCCAGCAGCCGCGGUAAUACGUAGGGUGCAAGCGUUGUCCGGAAUUAUUGGGCGUAAAGAGCUCGUAGGCGGUUUGUCGCGUCUGCUGUGAAAUCCCGAGGCUCAACCUCGGGCUUGCAGUGGGUACGGGCAGACUAGAGUGCGGUAGGGGAGAUUGGAAUUCCUGGUGUAGCGGUGGAAUGCGCAGAUAUCAGGAGGAACACCGAUGGCGAAGGCAGAUCUCUGGGCCGUAACUGACGCUGAGGAGCGAAAGCGUGGGGAGCGAACAGGAUUAGAUACCCUGGUAGUCCACGCCGUAAACGUUGGGCGCUAGAUGUAGGGACCUUUCCACGGUUUCUGUGUCGUAGCUAACGCAUUAAGCGCCCCGCCUGGGGAGUACGGCCGCAAGGCUAAAACUCAAAGGAAUUGACGGGGGCCCGCACAAGCGGCGGAGCAUGCGGAUUAAUUCGAUGCAACGCGAAGAACCUUACCAAGGCUUGACAUACACCGGAAACGGCCAGAGAUGGUCGCCCCCUUGUGGUCGGUGUACAGGUGGUGCAUGGUUGUCGUCAGCUCGUGUCGUGAGAUGUUGGGUUAAGUCCCGCAACGAGCGCAACCCUCGUUCUAUGUUGCCAGCGCGUUAUGGCGGGGACUCAUAGGAGACUGCCGGGGUCAACUCGGAGGAAGGUGGGGAUGACGUCAAAUCAUCAUGCCCCUUAUGUCUUGGGCUUCACGCAUGCUACAAUGGCCGGUACAAAGGGCUGCGAUACCGUAAGGUGGAGCGAAUCCCAAAAAGCCGGUCUCAGUUCGGAUUGAGGUCUGCAACUCGACCUCAUGAAGUCGGAGUCGCUAGUAAUCGCAGAUCAGCAA
RNAcentral lists this ribosomal RNA (1235 nucleotides) under Curtobacterium sp. Its description in RNAcentral is "bacterial SSU rRNA". It matches the Rfam family "Bacterial small subunit ribosomal RNA", at positions 107 to 1355 of the family's 1533-position model. Lineage: Bacteria; Bacillati; Actinomycetota; Actinomycetes; Micrococcales; Microbacteriaceae. The record is from RNAcentral.